GAUGAACGCUGGCGGCGUGCCUAAUACAUGCAAGUCGAGCGAACAGACGAGGAGCUUGCUCCUCUGACGUUAGCGGCGGACGGGUGAGUAACACGUGGAUAACCUACCUAUAAGACUGGGAUAACUUCGGGAAACCGGAGCUAAUACCGGAUAACAUGUUGAACCGCAUGGUUCAACAGUGAAAGACGGUUUUGCUGUCACUUAUAGAUGGCUCCGCGUCGCAUUAGCUAGUUGGUAAGGUAACGGCUUACCAAGGCAACGAUGCGUAGCCGACCUGAGAGGGUGAUCGGCCACACUGGAACUGAGACACGGUCCAGACUCCUACGGGAGGCAGCAGUAGGGAAUCUUCCGCAAUGGGCGAAAGCCUGACGGAGCAACGCCGCGUGAGUGAAGAAGGUCUUCGGAUCGUAAAACUCUGUUAUUAGGGAAGAACAAAUGUGUAAGUAACUAUGCACGUCUUGACGGUACCUAAUCAGAAAGCCACGGCUAACUACGUG
Molecule: ribosomal RNA, 497 nt
Filed under: uncultured bacterium
Lineage: Bacteria
Description: partial 16S ribosomal RNA
Rfam family: Bacterial small subunit ribosomal RNA
Source: RNAcentral